UAAAUGCGAUACGUCAUGUGAUACGCAAGUUGUCGUGAAUCAUUGAAAUCUUGAACGCAAAUUGCACCUUGCGAUGAGUGAGGUAUGCAACCUGGAGGGGUGUAAUGAAAUUGAAUUAUUCAGAUUUGCGGGUGAAGCGAAAGUUGCUCCCGUUGAAAAUAAUUUCAAAAAUAAAAUAUUUUUAUAUUAAAAUGCGCCCUCCCUGUUGUAUGAAGUACCCGCUGAACUUAA
RNAcentral lists this unclassified non-coding RNA (231 nucleotides) under uncultured fungus. RNAcentral's name for it is "sequence contains ITS1". The stretch from base 1 to 102 matches the Rfam family "5.8S ribosomal RNA", at positions 50 to 154 of the family's 154-position model. Lineage: Eukaryota; Fungi. The record is from RNAcentral.